AGUGAACGCUGGCGGCAGGCCUAACACAUGCAAGUCGAACGGCAGCACAGUAAGAGCUUGCUCUUACGGGUGGCGAGUGGCGGACGGGUGAGGAAUACAUCGGAAUCUACUUUUUCGUGGGGGAUAACGUAGGGAAACUUACUCUAAUACCGCAUACGACCUACGGGUGAAAGCAGGGGAUCUUCGGACCUUGCGCGAUUGAAUGAGCCGAUGUCGGAUUAGCUAGUUGGCGGGGUAAAGGCCCACCAAGGCGACGAUCCGAAGCUGGUCUGAGAGGAUGAUCAGCCACACUGGAACUGAGACACGGUCCAGACUCCUACGGGAGGAAGCAGUGGGGAAUAUUGCGCAAUGGGCGAAAGCCUGAUACAGCAAUACCGCGUGAGUGAUGAAGGCCUUCGGGUUGUAAAGCCCUGUUGUUGGGAAAGAAAAGAAGCAGGUUAAUACGCGGCUGUUCUGACGGUACCCAAAGAAUAAGCACCGGCUAACUUCGUG
Molecule: ribosomal RNA, 492 nt
Filed under: uncultured bacterium
Lineage: Bacteria
Description: partial 16S ribosomal RNA
Rfam family: Bacterial small subunit ribosomal RNA
Source: RNAcentral